This 497-nucleotide ribosomal RNA is filed under the name uncultured bacterium. Its description in RNAcentral is "partial 16S ribosomal RNA". It matches the Rfam family "Bacterial small subunit ribosomal RNA", at positions 28 to 507 of the family's 1533-position model. The record is from RNAcentral.
GAUGAACGCUGGCGGCGUGCCUAAUACAUGCAAGUCGAGCGAAAAGAUGCGGAGCUUGCUCCUUUGACGUUAGCCGCGGACGUGUGUGUAACACGUGUAUAACCUACUUAUCAGUCUGGGAAAACCUCGGGAAACCGGCUCUAAUCCCGGAGAAUAUAUUGCACCGCAUGGUUCAAUAGUGAAAGACGGUUUUGCUGGCACUUCUAGAUGGAUCUGCGCCGCUUGAGCUAGUUGGUAAGGUAACGGCUUACCAAGGGAACGAGGCGUAGCCGACCUGAGAGGGUGAUCGGCCACACUGGAACUGAGACGCGGUCCAGACUCCUACGGGAGGCAGCAGUAGGGAAUCUGCCGCAAUGGGCGAAAACCUGACGGAGCAACGCCGCGUGAGUGAUGAAGGUCUUCGGAUCGUAAAACUCUGUUAUUGGGGAAGAACAAAUGUGUAAGUAACUAUGCACGUCUUGACGGUACCUAAUCAGAAAGCCACGGCUAACUACGUG